This 731-nucleotide long non-coding RNA is filed under the name Vigna radiata. Its description in RNAcentral is "long non-coding RNA (VRAD_LNC001314)". Lineage: Eukaryota; Viridiplantae; Streptophyta; Magnoliopsida; Fabales; Fabaceae. The record is from RNAcentral.
AGCAGCCAAAAACUCUACUUCGACGAAAGAGUAAAAACCCUAAUCUAAAGAAUGUAAAAACGCAGAGAGUCUGAAAAGUGUCUCGGUCUCUAAAAUUGUAGAAGUCUGUUUUACAAUACAAAAGCCCCUUAUAUAGGGUUGAAGAAAGAAGAAAAAAAAAUGAAAGAUGGAAUAGGGAAGAAGAAACUUGUUCGUGACGCUUUCUUUCUUCAAUCGGACGACCCUCUUCACCUUGCUCACGAGCUCACAUCUUGUCCAUCCAAUCCUCUCCAACGCAGCUCCGGUCAUCUCUGGGCAGGACGAGACGUGCUCCAGAUCCAGCUUCAACUUGCUUGCUCUUCUUUUCUUUGCCCUAGCUCGAAAGGUUUCUCUCCUUUCAUCGAAUGAAAUUCUCGAGAGCUUGUAUGCGUCAAAUGAAAUGCGCCAACCAGGAACCCCUCCAACAGCUUCAGCUAUCAAAACUCACCGUUUCGCUUAAAGGAGCAAGCCCAAAUAGAGAAGCCCAAUUCCAGGCAGCACUUGCUGCAACAGCAGCGACAAUUGGGGGUUACUCCCUGUACCUCCCCAAUUCCAACCCUCACCCCCCAUUCCAUUUUUACCCUUUGCUCUAUUUUUUCUAUUCCAAUUUUAUCCUUUAGCAAAAAUUUAUAUUUAGAAAUAAAAUUUUAUAAUUUUAUUCUCCCACCCCCACAAAACCUAUUUAUUCAUUUUUUUUUUAUCUUCAUGCUUUC